AUGGCUUCCGGUUCCUCCUCCGCGGCGAUGCAGCUGGCCGUCAUCGGCCCUGUGGUGACGCCUCCGACCGCGACGGCGUCUGUCCCAUCCAUCGCGCCCUCCCUUGGUGUCAGAUUGGAUCGCGGCAACUUCCCGCUAUGGCGAACCCUCACCGUGACGCAUCUCUCUGGUGCUUCUCUCCAUGGCUACCUCGAUGGUUCCGUCGCUGCCCCGCCCACAACCAUCACCCAGGGGGCGGGUGAUACAGCCACCACGGUGGCAAACCUUGCGUACGCGACAUGGUGGACGCAGGACCAGAAGGUCCUCGGGAUGCUCCUCUCCUCCAUGACGGAGGACAUUGCGUCUCAGCUGAUUAGCUGUAAGUCCGCUGCUGCCGCGUGGACCUCCAUCCACGCCAUGUUCAGCGCGCAGAAUCGUGCCGGAGUUCGGCACAUCCGGCGACAGAUUCAGUCGCUGAAGAAGAACGACAUGACUGCCAGCGAGUACAUGCACAAGGUGAAGGCCCUUGCCGAUGCCAUGGCCUCUGCUGGAUCUCCCCUUGCUGAUGACGAGAUCAUCGACUACAUGCUCACCGGUUUGGGCAAGACCUUCAACCCGAUCGCGGCGUCGCUCAGCGUUGUGGUCACCCCGGUCGCGCUGACUGACUUCUACUCCAUGGUUCUCAACUAUGAAGCGCUGCAGUUAUCGCAGCAGGCCGAUGAUGAGGAGUGGACCUCGUCGGCCAACGCUGUGGCUCGGUCCGGCGCUCCUCCCCCCGCCAACCGCCCUCGCGCGCCUGACUCUGGUCGCGCAGGCGACUCCCGCCCGGCCGGAGGCUACCCGCAGCAACAGGGGCAGGGCUACCAGCAAGGCGGCCAAGACAACCGUUGUAACAACGGCGGUGGAGGAGGCGGCAAUGGCCGCAACAGCAAUCGCCGCUGGCGCCCGCGGUGCCAGAUUUGUAAAAAUUGGGGUCACGAAGCCGAUACCUGCAAGAAGCGUUUUGAUUCAGACUACUCCAGCGGCGGCAAUGGCCGCUCGGCAUAUAAUGCUUCAACCUCCUCCAACAACUCCACGCACUGGGUUCUGGACUCCGGCACCACGGAUCACCUGACUAGUGACCUGGAGCGUCUUCAGUUCCGCGAGCGCUACGGCGGUCAUGAUCAGGUUUAG
RNAcentral lists this ribosomal RNA (1152 nucleotides) under Triticum aestivum (bread wheat). RNAcentral describes it as "partial small subunit ribosomal RNA". The record is from RNAcentral. Lineage: Eukaryota; Viridiplantae; Streptophyta; Magnoliopsida; Poales; Poaceae.